Molecule: long non-coding RNA, 537 nt
Filed under: Mytilus galloprovincialis (Mediterranean mussel)
Lineage: Eukaryota; Metazoa; Mollusca; Bivalvia; Mytilida; Mytilidae
Source: RNAcentral
AUUAUAUGCAGUGGUCAAAGCAUUAUAUGAAGUGUUCAAAACAUUAUAUGCAGUGGUCACAACAUUAUAUGAAGUGAUCACAACAUUAUAUGAAGUGCUCACAACAUUAUAUGAAGUGCUCACAACAUUAUACGUUUUUUGUUGUAUGAUGAGAUUGUUGUAUGAUGAGAUUGAUGUAUGAUGAGAUCAUUCGGUAAACAUCGUUUUUUAGCGGAAAUUACCGAAUCCAUAAUUUGUAAAUUACGGUAAUGCCCAGCAAACAAAUUUAAACAGUUAUUAAAGUCAUGUGAUCAUAAGGCAGUAUACAAUAUUUAAAACUGAUUGAAAUAAGUAAGGAAAAGAUGAAACUAAGAAGUGAAUGAUUAAAGUAGUUCUGUUCGUCGUAAGAAAUACGAAUGGCAAAAUGUAAGUGAAAUAAUAAAAAGUUUAUUUAAUGAAAUAUCGAAGGGAAAUUUGUAUGACAUAUUCCUCGAGUUCAUUUCCUACUGAAGAACUUUAGCAAGGUGCCACUUUAUAGUCCGUACUCAGUUUUAAAAA